CUUCCGUAGGGUGAACCUGCGGAGGGAUCAUUACACAAAUAUGAAGGCGGGCUGGAACCUCUCGGGGUUACAGCCUUGCUGAAUUAUUCACCCUUGUCUUUUGCGUACUUCUUGUUUCCUUGGUGGGUUCGCCCACCACUAGGACAAACAUAAACCUUUUGUAAUUGCAAUCAGCGUCAGUAACAAAUUAAUAAUUACAACUUUCAACAACGGAUCUCUUGGUUCUGGCAUCGAUGAAGAACGCAGCGAAAUGCGAUAAGUAGUGUGAAUUGCAGAAUUCAGUGAAUCAUCGAAUCUUUGAACGCACAUUGCGCCCUUUGGUAUUCCAAAGGGCAUGCCUGUUCGAGCGUCAUUUGUACCCUCAAGCUUUGCUUGGUGUUGGGCGUCUUGUCUCUAGCUUUGCUGGAGACUCGCCUUAAAGUAAUUGGCAGCCGGCCUACUGGUUUCGGAGCGCAGCACAAGUCGCACUCUCUAUCAGCAAAGGUCUAGCAUCCAUUAAGCCUUUUUUCAACUUUGACCUCGAUCGUCUGAGACAG
RNAcentral lists this small RNA (536 nucleotides) under Alternaria alternata. Its description in RNAcentral is "eukaryotic LSU rRNA". The stretch from base 199 to 352 matches the Rfam family "5.8S ribosomal RNA". The record is from RNAcentral. Lineage: Eukaryota; Fungi; Ascomycota; Dothideomycetes; Pleosporales; Pleosporaceae.